CGAAGUGACCAAAAGUACGAAAUCAUGGCAAUUGGUUACAGUAACUAUUCAAUUUCAGGCACAGACAAAGCUUCACAUUCUAAGAAACUUGGUGCAGAAACGCAUAGUUCAUGAUGAAUUACUGGACCAACCAUUCUCAAACCACUACCACGACAUACUAUGACACUAGUUUCUGAGGAGACCAAAGUAGUCUCAAGUUUUGGCCACCAUAGAACACCCAAAGUUUAUUUACAUUUUGAUUCCCCAAGACGAUGAGAAUCCGUUCAGUGAGAUUCAACUGCUGCUGCUAGCCGCUUCGCCACAUCCAGAGUUUCUUCCUUGACCACUAGCUCGACCCCCUGCUUUCCAAACACCUGCAACAUGGCACAAGCUAAAAAGAUUACCCUUAAGGCCUGAUUUGGUGGUCAGGGAAAUGAAGGAGAUCCAUGGGGAGGCUAUUCCCCCCAAUGAUCCUCUCUAUUUCCCUGGUCACCAAACUAACCCUAAAGUCAGGAGUGGUAAUGCACUCUAAAUUUUACACUACAAACUUUAAAGAUCGAAUUGGAUUAGUAUCGGGUCCUAUUCCUAUUCAUUUUUGAACUAAAAUUAUUUACGAGCCCUAACUUUUUGUGAAUGGACAUUUGAAUCGUGAUCCAUUACCAGUUUACCAUCCCUACCUAAAGUACAUAAUUAGGGAAGCAGCUCAAUAAAAAUGAUGAAUAUUAGAAAUGCAUAACAGGCAGUAACAGAUUAGCUACUUAAAUUUAAGACACCAGCCUGAAAGUGGGUGAUGCAAACAGUCAAGGGUGGACAAGUUUGUACCAAUGUCCUCACUUAGUUGUGGGUGUCUUAGGAUCCUUAAAUGAGAAAGGUAUUUCUCAUAUCCAAUAUGCAGACGAUAUAGUCUUAAUGACUGAUGGAUCUAACAAGUCAAUCACAAAUAUUAAAAUCAUGUUAUAUUGCUUCGAAUGUGUUGACGCUUUUUCGGAGCGCCAAUCACUCAAGAAGAACCGGCGGCGGUGCCCUCUGCACAGGGGCGGACGGUCCGCGCGCAGGGGCCGGACGGUCCGCGGCCUGGUGCGAGGCGGCGGUGCUCUCUGGUCAGACGCGGACGGUCCGCGGCACAGGGCCGGACGGUCCGCGACCUGGUGCAGGAGCUAGAAUUCCCUGCCUGACGGCCGGACGGUCCGCGCCUUAGGGCCGGACGGUCCGCGCGUGCGCAGGGGCGGCGGAAGAUCGCCGGCGGCGCCUGGAUCUCGCUCCCGGGAGGGACCCCGUCGGGGAGGAGAGAUCCCAGGAGUUGUCUAGGCUCGGGCCGGCCGACCUAGACUCCCCUAAUCGACGUAGAGUCGAGGAGAGGCGGAGAAUUUGGGGAUUGGAAUACUAAACUAGGGCUAAACUAGAACUAGACUAGAACUACUCCUAAUGCAUAAGGUAAAAACGAGUAAUAGACUUGAUUUGUUUGAUUGUUGGGGGGUUCAAUCGGCCGUAGCCCUUCAUCUAUAUAAAGGGGGAGGUCUGGAUCCGCUUCCAACUGAUUUCCGAGUUAAUCCCGCGGUUUUAGGUAACAAAUCCCGCGAGAAACUAGGAACCCUAACUGACUCUGCGCACGCGCGGACCGUCCGGCCUCCGGGCCGGACCGUCCGCACGGUCAUUUUGGGUUCGAACAUAUGCCCCCCCUGCCUUUUGGUGAAGGUUGACGAACCAAAAGCAUAUGAACUAAACCUGAUGUAAGUCACCGGCUUUUCGAUAUGGAGAUUAUUCAAUAAAGCACCAAUAUAAAGGCCGUUUCGGAUUGUAUCUUUCUCGGCCAUGACCAUUUGAUCAAUGGAUCAAAAGGAAUAGAAUGGAGGUGCCCCCCAGUCUGGAUAGACGAAGGGAUUAUACAUGUACCAUGAAUUCAUCAUCGUGCCAUUCCAUGUUUGAACAGGAUAAUAUACCGACGAUGAGUAAAUAGGUGGAAAGUACCCUGGUCUCAUAGAAUGAAUAGGCGAUGCUUGUUGUGUCGCCUUUUGGGCCGUUUUGUUUAACCGUUUUGUUUUAGCAGGUGGCCAGGGUUUCUUUGUUGACCGAUCACGUGGAACAGUCUUUUUGCUAGCAUUUUUGGAGAGCAACUGAUCAAAAGUAGGAUCGGCUUUGAUCAGCCGAUUAUAUGUGCUUUGACCUUGCGUCUUUUUCCUUGCUUUGUGUAGAGGUUGACGCCUUUGGUCAUAGGGGGACUGUCCGGCUGAGUUAGCCGGACCAUUUGUCUGAGCACCGGAUCGUCCGCACGUAGGUGCCGGACCAUUUACGAUGUUUGGGCUAGGCUGAUGUGUUUGGUUCAUUAACUGUGCCUGCCCCCCAGUGUCUUCAGACUUUUUAGCCUUCUCGUCCGAAGCCUUUCAAGCAAUCUCCUUUUGUGAUAUAUCUGACAUGCGGGGAUCGCCAAUGACGAUACCCUUGCCUUUGCCUUUAUCGGCCAUUUCGGGCCGAACCAAGACCUUUUUGCAUGUGAGUUCUAUUGUAUUAACAGGAAAGGGUUGUGUGUCUACUUGCAUCUCCUGAAAAGCCAAUCGACCCUCAUUUAUGGUCGAUUGUAUCUGUCGACGAAAAACAUUACAAUCAUUGGUGGCAUGAGAAAAGGAAUUAUGCCACUUACAAUAAGCACGCCUCUUUAAUUCAUCAGGAGGAGGAAUAGUAUGAGUUAAUUUAAUGUUGCCGUUUUUCAGUAACUCGUCAAAUAUUUUAUCGCAUUUGGCAACAUUAAAAGUAAACUUAACUUCCUCUUGUCGAUUCUUUCGAAUCGACUGUAAAGCAGAACACGCUGAAGGUUUAGCCUGUCCUGGCCAAACCAGUUCGGCGGUGUAUAUAUCUGUGGAUUCAUCGUCCGAAUUAUCGUAUCCCACUAAAUGCAUCUUAUGGCUAGCCGAUUUUGAUGUUUCCUUACUUCGGCUUUCACAGGUCAUAGCCCGCUGGUGUAAGUGCACUAAUGAAAAGAAUUGGGUGCUGUCUAAUUUUUCUUUUAAGUAGGAUCGCAACCCAUUGAAAGCUAGCCCUGUCAGUUGUUUUUCUGCGACAUGAAUCUGAAAGCAUCGGUUUCUAGUGUCCCGGAGUCUCCGGAUAUAGUCAUUAACCGAUUCUUCAGGCCCCUGUCGGACUGAAGCUAAGUCAGCCAAUUCUAACUCAUGUUCUCCUGAGAAGAAGUGUUCAUGAAAUUUCUGCUCUAAUUCUUCCCAAGAGUUAAUAGAGUUUGGUGGCAAAGCUGCGUACCAUGCAAAUGCAGUAUCAGUAAGGGACAACGAGAAUAAACGAACGCGGUAGGCUUCCCCAUCAGCCAAUUCUCCCAAGUGUGCUAUGAAUUGGCUUAUAUGUUCGUGUGUGCUUUUCCCACUUUCACCAGAAAACUUAGAGAAGUCUGGUAUUCUAGUUCCCUGUGGGUAUGGCACGGUGUCGAAUCGGUGGCUAUAAGGCUUCCGAUACGAUUGCCCUGUACCUGACACACUAACACCGAGUUUGUCCCUGAACAUCCCGGCUACCUCGUCUCUGACCCUCUCUGCCAUGUCUGGCGACCAUCCAUUAAGUUUGUGGGUGGAGAUUUCAGGUUGCCUGACAUUACUCUGUCGGCUUUCCUCCCAGGUAUGUUUGAGGUGUGUGUUAGGUGUCCUAUUAAUGUCACCAGCUCCUGCCCUAUACCCUUCAGGCUCUCUUGUGGCCGAAUGGUAUUCAGCCCUAUGUCCAUGAGGUGGUAUGGCAUGAUUAUAAUGUGUUGCUGGUGGGGCACCAUAAUGUUGCUGCGAUGAAUGUGGGAACUGUGUGUAUUGCGCAGCUCUCGGCUCUGCGUAUGCAUAUCCGGACGGUCCGGCGUAAGAGGCCGAAUGGUCCGCGACCUGACCAAAUGGUCUGAAGGUAUAUUCGGAUUGUCCAGCCGUAUAUGGUGCUACGUGGGUAGUCUCGUACCCAGACCGUCUGUCGUAAAGAACUGGACGGUCUGCGAUCGGGCCGAAUGGUCCAGGGCUGUGCCCGGAUGGAUCGGCCAUAUAUGGCGUGACUUGGGCAGUCUGCGCAUGGACUCGUGUAGAGUCGGAUGGUCCAGCGUAAUACGUCGGCCGGUUCAUGCCAUAUCCGGACGGUCCGGCGUAAGAUGGCGGACGGUCCGCAACAUAUCCGGACGGUCCGACGUGAUGCACCGGACGGUCCGUGAUGGGGCCGAAGUGUUCAGGGUUGUAUCCUGAUGGUCCGGCCAUGUACGGUGCGACCUGAGUGUUUUGUGUGCGGGCCUGCAUCUGGUCGGACGGUCCGGCGAAAUACGCCGGACGGUCCGCGGUAUAACCGAACUGUCUGAGAUGAUGCUCGGACGGUCCGGUCGCGUCCAGUACCUGCCGCGUGACUAGUGGUUGCGGCUGUGAUGGUGGCACGAAAGCGUGCAUCGGCAUACCAUAUGAUGGCUGGGUCAAAGGUGACCCGUUUAUAGCCGAUGUGUUUGACGUGGGUGGCACUGUAUUAGACUCUCGCGAUGGAAAAUUAGGAGCAGCUGAUUUCUCGUAUGCACGUAAAUGCAUUUUAAUAGAUUCAUCUACAUAUUGCUUUAACUGAUCUCCUCGUUGAUCCAUGAAAGUCGUAAGAGAUAGAUCUGGAGUACUUACAGCGGGACCCUGCAGUGGAGGUAGGAGAGAUUCCAUGUCGAUCUCCCCUUGACGGACGAUCUUCUGGUGGCGAUCCACCGUGAAGUGUGACAAGUACUUGUCCGCCGCCUCCUUGCGCCGUUCGGAGAGUUUAUGCAGCAGUUCCGCCUCUUCCUUGUCGCGUUGUUCGUUCCAUUGCCGCAUCACCUCCUUCUCAUCGCGCAUUACGAGGUCUUCAAAGGGCCUUUGGUCAUCAGCCGGGAGCGCCUCCAUGGCCGGCUUGAUGAUGUUGGUAGUAAAGAUCUUGGUGUGAUCCUUAGAACCGGCCAUUUAUGGGCCGAUUUUUAGCAGAUCUAGACACCUAGUCCCCAGCGGAGUCGCCAAAAAGUAUGUUGACGCUUUUUCGGAGCGCCAAUCACUCAAGAAGAACCGGCGGCGGUGCCCUCUGCACAGGGCCGGACGGUCCGCGCGCAGGGGCCGGACGGUCCGCGGCCUGGUGCGAGGCGGCGGUGCUCUCUGGUCAGACGCGGACGGUCCGCGGCACAGGGCCGGACGGUCCGCGACCUGGUGCAGGAGCUAGAAUUCCCUGCCUGACGGCCGGACGUUCCGCGCCUUAGGGCCGGACGGUCCGCGCGUGCGCAGGGGCGGCGGAAGAUCGCCGGCGGCGCCUGGAUCUCGCUCCCGGGAGGGACCCCGUCGGGGAGGAGAGAUCCCAGGAGUUGUCUAGGCUCGGGCCGGCCGACCUAGACUCCCCUAAUCGACGUAGAGUCGAGGAGAGGCGGAGAAUUUGGGGAUUGGAAUACUAAACUAGAGCUAAACUAGAACUAGACUAGAACUACUCCUAAUGCAUAAGGUAAAAACGAGUAAUAGACUUGAUUUGUUCGAUUGUUGGGGGUUCAAUCGGCCGUAGCCCUUCAUCUAUAUAAAGGGGGAGGUCUGGAUCCGCUUCCAACUGAUUUCCGAGUUAAUCCCGCGGUUUUAGGUAACAAAUCCCGCGAGAAACUAGGAACCCUAACUGACUCUGCGCACGCGCGGACCGUCCGCGCCACCACCGCGGACGGUCCGGACCGCGGACCGUCCGGCCUCCGGGCCGGACCGUCCGCACGGUCAUUUUGGGUUCGAACAGAAUGACUAUCAUGUAUAAAUAUUAAUUUUCAUACGAGUAAGUCCUUUUGUUUAGCUUCAGCAAGAGGAAAAAGAAAUGAAAGCAAGCAUGCUAAAUCGUAGGCUUGGAGACUUACCAAUGAAAUACCUGGGGAUACAUGUGUCUUAUAAUGUGUUAGGCAUACGGGCCUUUUAGGGUAUGUCUGACAAGAUAAUGAAAAGAUUGGAUCCAUAGAAAGGGAAGUGGAUGACUUCUGGAGGUAACUGCAUCCUCACAAAUUCUUGUCCAAGCAAUCUUCCAAAGUAUAUCGUUAGGAAGGACUUGGGAGAUUCCUCUAAGACGAAGUUUGCAAGGGAAAGAUAUUUUGGAAUGAGAGGAACUGCUGGAUCUGUUAAGUAAUGUCCAGUUAAAUGUUUUGGAACAGGAGGUACUUGAAUGUUCAUCCUUGUAUAUGUGCUAAUCUGCAAAUGCAAAAUUCCUCUGAAGAUUAAAUUAUUCUUAUGGCAUGUUUUCCAUAAUAAACUACAAAUAGUUGCCACCCUAAAAAUAAAUGGGGUGGGAGCACUUUAUGUUGUGUAUAAGCCUGAAAACGGUUAAGCAUAUCCUUUCCAAGUGCGUUUUUGCUCAAUAUGUUUGGUGUUGUACCAGGGAUGCUUUUGAUUUACAGGGCUUUCCAACAUCUACCUGAGAUAUUCUUGUAUGCCUACUCAUCUAGCCUCUCUAAAAACUUUGACCUCAUUAAUCUCAUGAUUGUCAUCAUCAGCAUUUAAAGAAACAGACGUCGUAUCAUGACCAUUAUAGAUGUACUUGUAAAGGUAUUUCUUUAAAUGGUGCUAAUGACAACUAUGAGAUUAAUGAGAUCCUAGAUGAGUAGGCCUACAAGAGGCUUUAAGGAGAAUCUAUGGGUUUGGUCUUAAUGGUAUCUUACCCUAGUGCAGCAACUACAACUUCACCUUCCAGGUGUAGCGUUUUGAAUGCGCAGGGAGUGGAAAAGGCGAUGUUAACUGAGUUUUUAAGGCAAAUUUUUAAGAUGCACAAGGAGUUUGGAAUCCUGCGUCGAAAAAUGAACACCUAAAACACACAAGUUGGUCGGAUCAUCUUAGUAUAUCCUAUCAAAGGGGAGACAUUAUCUAAGAGUGGUAAUAAACCACGUGUGAGGUCCACCUCAUAUGAGUAUCUAAGGACAGUUGAAGGAACCAAGGUCAUAUCAUCUAGACCUAAGUAUGGGCCACCCGAUCCGGUCGACCCACCCGAAAAAUACCUUACCUAGUCGGGCCGGGCCAAUGUGUUGGGCGGGCUCGGGCUUGGGGCAAAAAUUAAACCUGUGGGCCUUACCUGGUCCUCUUCUCUUUGAUCCCGACUCGGCAGCCGCCACGCGACUCACGCCGCCGCAAGUGUAGAUCCCCCCAUGCCCCAGCCGUCAACAUCCUCCAGGAGCACAGGCACAACCACACAGCUUGCUGACCACCGCCUGACGACAUCUCCAUCAGCAUCAGGCGUCAGCAGGUAAUCUGCAAGACUCCGUCCACCACUACUAGUACUGCUUUGCGUUCUAAAAUAUGAACUUUUGAUAGCAAAUAGCAUUUACGUUCUAGAAUCUAGAUAGCUAGUAGUACUUAGUCGUACUUACGUUCUGCAUAUCUAGGUACUAGCUUUAGAUAUUAAAAUAAUUUAUUUAUUUGGAGUUGGCAGACUGCUCACUUAUACGUUUUUGCCUAUUUAUUAUUAGAUUGGCCAUUGGUCAUUUGCUUCAAGACAUGGCAAGCAACAGCUGGAGUGAAGAGGAGGAAGAGAUCCAAGAGGUCAAUGCUCAAGCAAAUUCAGAGCAGCAGCAUGAUGGAGCCGUAGAGCCAGAUGUUAUUGUGACUGUGUGAGACUGAGGUUCAAUUUCUAAUGUGUGACAGUAUGAGACUGAAGAUGUUAUUGUAAAUUUGUUAUUUCUGAACUCAUUGUACCAUGUAAUCAUCUCUGUUGUUCUGAGCUGUAGUAAAAUCAAUAUUAUAUUAUAUUACUUGAUGGCAUUAGCCAUGUACCCCCUCCAGUCUGCACUGUGCAGACAUGCACACAGGCGGGCUCGGGCCAUGAUUAUGUAUUUUCUAUCGGGCUACGGGCGGUUUGGAGCCAAAGUGUUUUCAUGUUGGGUUUUGUGUGGCCCGGCCCGACCCGGUAAAUGAUCAGGUCUAAUAUCAUCCAUAUAUCGUCGUGUCAUAUCUUUUCCACUACUGAUAAAUGGUGUCGGUAGAACUAAUCUUUUGCCCAAGACACACAUUUGGUUUUUUGCUUGGUAUAGAUCUACCUGUAUUUUUGCUUGAAUAUUGAGUCAAUACUUUUAUACAGAUAGGUCACCAUUGAGAUCGGACACAACGACUGUACAAAUAGAGCACACAUCAUUGUUACUAAGUUUUCUAUGAUACAUAAUUAACUAAGUAUAUAUUGUCACAAGCUAAAACACAUCGUCAUCUCCUAUCUUUCAAUCCGGUAUCACAGUUGGCAAAUAAUCUCAUUUGAUUUCUAGAAAAUUGUUGACAAAACAAGUCCUUGGAUUUUUUUAUCAACGAGCGUCGAAUUAUUGUAAUUCAGAACAUGAUUUCUAAGAACACGAUUAUUUUGAACUAUAUCAUUUUAAUUUUUAACGAUUUUGUAAUAACCACUCACUCUUCAGUCCGUGUGUAGUAUGAUGAUCUGGGUUGAAAUAAACGUUGUUGUGGUCCGAGCUUUUGAACCAUCCUUUAUUACGAUGAAAGAGUUACAACAAUAAUAUAUGUGAUUACUAAACAUAAAAAUUAAGUAAAUGUUAAAAGAUUUUAGCUAGAGAAUAAAUUAAUGUGUCUCUUGUUACGUCACAACAUAGUUCCAAUAAUUAUGCUCUUGUUAACUUUAGCUAACUCUGAACGCAGAACAUUUUUUUUGCAAGAGGUCAGACCAUACUCUCACGAUGAUUAGAUUCAAUGUUUUUUAAAAACUGUCGUUAUGUAAAGUCUUCCACCGAUAUGCUCUAAUGACUCCAAAUGAAAAACUUUGCCAACAAUAUCUGCAAUAUCUGCAUGCUUGCUUAGUUAAAUUUAAAUAAAUUUUUUGCUUCUAUCAAUAUGAUUAUAAACCACAUAAAAGGAAGGGUCAUUAUCUAGAAAUGUCUCAUUAUAUAUUUGGAUGACCUCAUAAAAUAGUAUAAGAUGAUCUAGAUAGGGAGGAAAUUGUAUUAGAAUGAUGAAUGGCUCCAUAUUAGUACAUUUCCGCAAUUUCAACUAUAUACUAUGCUUAAUAUUCUGAAAGUUAAGAUCGCCGAAUUUGGAUCGAACAACACUCUUUUCAAUAUGUAUAGAGUGUCGUCCGGUCUAAACUAGCAGAUCUUAACUUUUGAAAUAUUAGGCAUAGUCUAGGGUUGACAUUAGGAAGACGUAUUACCGUGGAGCCAUUUACCAUGCAAAUUCAAUUUUCUCUCUAUCUAAAGCAUCUUAUAACAUUGCAUGAGAUGGUCCAACAAUAUAAUAUGACGUUCGUAGUUAACGACCCUAACUUCUAUGUGGUUUAUACUCAUAUAAAGAGAGAAGCAUAUAAAUUAUUUAAAUUUAACUAAGCAUGUGAAUUUUGCAUACAUUACUGGUAUAGUUCUUCAUUUGAAUCCAUUAAAGCAUAUCAGUGAAAUGUCGUACAGAGAGACCACACUAAUUGAUUUGAGGUCACACUAAUACAUAACUAUAUUUUUUUAAAAAAAAUUAAAAAUUUGUUAGCUUUUAUUCAAACAAUUAAGGUUUGAUUUAUUGGUCGAAUCAAACAUCAUGUGAGUAUGGUCUGACGUCUUGCAAAGAAAUGCUCUACGUUAGAAGUUAACUAAAGAUAAUAAUAACAUAAUUAUUAGAACUAUGUUUGCGGCGUAACAAAAAGACACAGUAUUUUAUCCUCUAACUAAAAUAUUUGAAUAUUUACUCAAUUUUCAUGUUUAUUAAUCUUAUACUAUAGGUCUAACUCUUUCAUUAUAACAAUAGGAUGCUUGGAAAGCUUAGACCACAACACCAUUCAUUUCAACCCAGAUCAUCACACUACACAUCGAUUGAAGAGUUAGUGGUUCUUAUAAAAUAGUUAAAAAAAUGAUAUAAUUUAAAAUAAUUAUUUUCUUAUUAAUCAUGUUCUAAAUUACAGCAGUUCGGCGCUCGUUGAUUCAAAAUCCAAGGACUCAUUUCAUCAACAAAAUUCAUGAAAACAGAUGGGCUUAUUUGGCAAUUGUGAUACCAGAUUGAGACAUGUUAUAGCUUGUGAUAAUAUAGACUUUGUUGGUUAUGUAUUAGUGAAAACUUAGUAACAAUAAUGUGUGCUCUAUUUGUAUUGGUCGUUGCGUCCGAUCACAAUGGUGACCUCUGUACAAAACUAUAUAUUCAAUAACCAAGCAAAAAACAGAUAGAUCUAUAUCGAGGCUUAGUUGAUAGUUUGUUUGCAGGAGAAAACCAAGCGCGUGCCUUGGGUAAAAGAUUGGUUCUACCGAUGCCAUUUAUUGGUGGUGUAAGGGUUAUGAGACAAUGAUACAUGGAUGAUAUGACCUUGGCACAGAAGUAUGGAAAAUCAAACUACUUCCUCACCAUGACUUGUAAUCCAAAUUUGGAGGAAAUAACUAGGGAGCUUGAAACAAACCUAACUCCACUGGACCGAUCAGACAUUGUUGAGAGUAUUUAGAGCCAGCUAGAAGACCUCAAAGCAUCAGCUCUUCCAUAAACACAUUCUUGGAAUCUUGGCAGCACAAGUCCAUGUCAUUGAGUUCCUUCUUAUCAUGCAACACGGCUACAAGCUAACAUGCCCCAGAGCAAUACAACAUUAUUUCCGAGAAAAAAUUUGCAACCUAAGUUUCCAAACUAGGUAGCCCUAAACAGGAACUUUUUCACACAGGCUUGCAAAGAACACAAUACCAACACCAUGUUUGCUGAACAGUCUGACUUGGAACACACAGACUUGCUAAAUUUCCUAUUCCCAAUCCCCCAUUACCCCAUGAUUAGUUCGCCCAAAAGAAAACCAGGAAAAAAACUCUACCAUCACCAUCUAACAAAAUGGCUACUACAAUACUAUCACUAGCAGAAAUGGAUUCUAACAGAACAUCAUCACCAUGUUUGCUAAAAUUACAGAGAGGGUUUGAACAUCAGAACAUGCUAAAUCGCCUGUUCACCAUCAUCCAUUUGCGAUUGAGACAAUACGAGGUAAAUAAAUGCUACUACCAACGAUACAGCAAACUCUGAUCGGAUGAGAACAUGACGAGUCUGUGAUCGCUUACCGAAAAUAACAUCACUAAUUGGUGCCACGCUGGUGCUAGCGAUGGAUCCAAUCCAACGAAUAACUCCAUUCCCCAAAACAAAGACUACCAUGGCAUCACCACGACGAAAAACCCUGAUCCUACCGGCCUACCGGGUACAAGUUACUACAACUAUGGACCAGAAGAAAUCGCCAAGCAAGAGAAAUCAUGCGAGCACAUCAUAGAACGAACGGGAUAUCGAUAAGAUCACAAGAGGAGAGGGGUCGGCGCGCAAGCGACAUUGCCGGGCCGCGCUUCUGGUUGAAGUAGUUCUUGAGGCAGAUCCAGUGCUUCUGCGCGGGUACCCCUUGAUCUGGUUGAAGUAAGUCCUUGGCGGUCUCCGAUCCAGGAACGUCGCCUCCUCCCCCACCGUAUUGUGCGGGAUGGAAGGCACUUCGGAAAACUAGUGGUGUGAUUGUGUGAAUGGAGAAACGGAAGCUUUGGCUGGGUAAUGGUGCCGGUGAGUCAGGUUUUAUAGGCAGGCGGCC
Molecule: long non-coding RNA, 11448 nt
Filed under: Zea mays
Lineage: Eukaryota; Viridiplantae; Streptophyta; Magnoliopsida; Poales; Poaceae
Description: long non-coding RNA (ZMAY_LNC000113)
Source: RNAcentral